CUUAAAUUGAAGAGUUUGAUCAUGGCUCAGAUUGAACGCUGGCGGCAGGCCUAACACAUGCAAGUCGAGCGGUAGCACGGGGGAGCUUGCUCCUUGGGUGACGAGCGGCGGACGGGUGAGUAAUGUCUGGGAAACUGCCUGAUGGAGGGGGAUAACUACUGGAAACGGUAGCUAAUACCGCAUAACCUCGCAAGAGCAAAGAGGGGGACCUUCGGGCCUCUCGCCAUCAGAUGUGCCCAGAUGGGAUUAGCUAGUAGGUGAGGUAAUGGCUCACCUAGGCGACGAUCCCUAGCUGGUCUGAGAGGAUGACCAGCCACACUGGAACUGAGACACGGUCCAGACUCCUACGGGAGGCAGCAGUGGGGAAUAUUGCACAAUGGGCGCAAGCCUGAU
This 393-nucleotide ribosomal RNA is filed under the name Pectobacterium brasiliense. RNAcentral's name for it is "bacterial SSU rRNA". It matches the Rfam family "Bacterial small subunit ribosomal RNA", at positions 1 to 387 of the family's 1533-position model. Lineage: Bacteria; Pseudomonadati; Pseudomonadota; Gammaproteobacteria; Enterobacterales; Pectobacteriaceae. The record is from RNAcentral.